UACGUAGGGUGCAAGCGUUGUCCGGAAUUAUUGGGCGUAAAGAGCUCGUAGGUGGCCUGUCACGUCGACUGUGAAAACCCAGGGCUCAACCCUGGGACUGCAGUCGAUACGGGCAGGCUAGAGUGCGGUAGGGGAGACUGGAAUUCCUGGUGUAGCGGUGAAAUGCGCAGAUAUCAGGAGGAACACCGGUGGCGAAGGCGGGUCUCUGGGCCGUAACUGACGCUGAGGAGCGAAAGCGUGGGGAGCAAACAGG
Molecule: ribosomal RNA, 253 nt
Filed under: uncultured bacterium
Lineage: Bacteria
Description: partial 16S ribosomal RNA
Rfam family: Bacterial small subunit ribosomal RNA
Source: RNAcentral